AAUGCGGAUUGCAGGUUGCGGGUACGUGUCGGGUACGGGUUCCAUAAAAUGGACCCGCGCAGGACUCUACCCUGUAUUUAUAGUCCUGCGUCAUCACGCUGGUCUAUAAUGAAGCAGGCGACUAUAAAACCAGCCUGGCGGGGCGGAAUUGCUCAUAGUUAGGUUGUAGGUGGGGUGGGCUGAAGGAAAAGUGCCGUCUGAGCUGUUGGAACGUUGGAUUUUAGACCGACCUGCACAUCAGUAAUGCUCAGCCAGAUAUAAACCAAAUGUUUGCAUAGAAAUGGGCACACAAUCCCCUCCACAAUUUUUUUUAAAAGAACUUUAUAGAGAUUCUGUUUUUAGGACAAACGUUGUAAAAAAAAAUAUUGUGCAAUUUUAGCGUAACAUGAAAAAAUAAAAUUACAUUACCUUGA
Long non-coding RNA from Xenopus laevis (African clawed frog), 413 nucleotides. RefSeq lists it as uncharacterized. NCBI's taxonomy places the organism in Eukaryota, Metazoa, Chordata, Amphibia, Anura, Pipidae. The record is from RefSeq and is a predicted model, not a curated record. The transcript is spliced from 2 exons.